AGAGUUUGAUCCUGGCUCAGGAUGAACGCUAGCGGCAGGCUUAAUACAUGCAAGUCAAGGGGGUAGCAAUACAACCGGCGCACGGGUGAGUAACGCGUACACAACAUACCAUAUACUGGGGUAUAGCUUUGGGAAACUGAAGGUAAUCCCCCAUAACAUUGCGAAAGGGCAUCUGAUUGCAAUUAAAGUUUCGGCGGUAUAUGAUUGGUGUGCGUUUGAUUAGCUAGUUGGUAGGAUAACGGCCUACCAAGGCGACGAUCAAUAGCUGGCGUGAGAGCGCGACCAGCCACACUGGAACUGAGACACGGUCCAGACUCCUACGGGAGGCAGCAGUAGGGAAUAUUGGACAAUGGAGGAAACUCUGAUCCAGCCAUGCCGCGUGAUAGAUGAAGGCCCUCUGGGUUGUAAAUAUCUUCUAUCUGGGAAGAAACACUCCUAUUCUUAGGAACUUGACGGUACCAGAGGAAUAAGCACCGGCUAACUCCGUG
Molecule: ribosomal RNA, 488 nt
Filed under: uncultured bacterium
Lineage: Bacteria
Description: bacterial SSU rRNA
Rfam family: Bacterial small subunit ribosomal RNA
Source: RNAcentral